CUACGGGGUGCUGCAGUGAGGAAUAUUGCACAAUGGAGGAAACUCUGAUGCAGCAACGCCGCGUGGAGGAUGACGCAUUUCGGUGUGUAAACUCCUUUUAUAUGUCAAGAAAAUGACGGUAGCAUAUGAAUAAGCACCGGCUAACUCCGUGCCAGCAGCCGCGGUAAUACGGAGGGUGCAAGCGUUACUCGGAAUCACUGGGCGUAAAGGACGCGUGGGCGGGUUGGAAAGUCAGGUGUGAAAUCCUACAGCUUAACUGUAGAACUGCACUUGAAACUUCUAAUCUAGAGUAUGGGAGGGGGAGAUGGAAUUAGUGGUGUAGGGGUAAAAUCCGUAGAUAUCACUAGGAAUACCUAAAGCGAAGGCGAUCUCCUGGAACAUUACUGACGCUAAGGCGUGAAAGCGUGGGGAGCAAACAGGAUUAGAUACCCCCGUAGUC
RNAcentral lists this ribosomal RNA (439 nucleotides) under uncultured bacterium. RNAcentral's name for it is "partial 16S ribosomal RNA". It matches the Rfam family "Bacterial small subunit ribosomal RNA", at positions 339 to 795 of the family's 1533-position model. The record is from RNAcentral.